GACGAACGCUGGCGGCGUGCCUAACACAUGCAAGUCGAGCGGGGUUGAAGCGAGGGGUAACUCGAGUUUCUACCUAGCGGCGGACGGGUGAGUAACGCGUGGGCAACCUGCCUCAAGGACUGGGAUAACAGCUCGAAAGGGCUGCUAAUACCGGAUAAGCCUAUGGCCUCGCAUGGGGCCAUGAGCAAAGGGGAAACCCGCCUUGAGAUGGGCCCGCGUCCCAUCAGCUAGUUGGUGAGGUGAAGGCUCACCAAGGCGACGACGGGUAGCCGGCCUGAGAGGGUGACCGGCCACACUGGGACUGAGACACGGCCCAGACUCCUACGGGGGGCAGCAGUGGGGAAUCUUGCACAAUGGGCGAAAGCCUGAUGCAGCGACGCCGCGUGAGCGAAGAAGGCCUUCGGUUGUAAAGCUCUGUCUGGAGGGACGAAGGAAGUGACGGUACCUCCGGAGGAAGCCACGGCUAACUACGUGCCAGCAGCCGCGGUAAAGUACGUACGUACGUCGUCG
This 510-nucleotide ribosomal RNA is filed under the name uncultured bacterium. Its description in RNAcentral is "bacterial SSU rRNA". It matches the Rfam family "Bacterial small subunit ribosomal RNA", at positions 28 to 545 of the family's 1533-position model. The record is from RNAcentral.